This 393-nucleotide ribosomal RNA is filed under the name uncultured bacterium. RNAcentral's name for it is "bacterial SSU rRNA". It matches the Rfam family "Bacterial small subunit ribosomal RNA", at positions 29 to 416 of the family's 1533-position model. The record is from RNAcentral.
AACGAACGCUGGCGGCAUGCCUAACACAUGCAAGUCGAACGAGACCUUCGGGUCUAGCGGCGCACGGGUGAGUAACACGUAGGUAACCUGCCCCCCAGUCUGGAACAACUAGAGGAAACUCUAGCUAAUGCCGGAUGAGACCACGAUCCCUUCGGGGGUUGCGGCCAAAGAUGGCCUCUACUUGUAAGCUAUCGCUGAGGGAUGGGCCUGCGGGCCAUUAGCUUGUUGGUGAGGUAACGGCUCACCAAGGCUGUGAUGGCUAGCUGGUCUGAGAGGAUGACCAGCCACACUGGGACUGAGACACGGCCCAGACUCCUACGGGAGGCAGCAGUGGGGAAUAUUGCGCAAUGGGCGAAAGCCUGACGCAGCGACGCCGCGUGGGUGAUGAAGGCC